AGCUCCAAUAGCGUAUAUUAAAGUUGCUGCAGUUAAAAAGCUCGUAGUUGCAUUUCCGAGGCAAGGGAUUAGUCCGACCUUUGGUGGGUAUUUAAUCCUCUUGCCUCGUCCUUGAGUGGUGCUUCUUGGUAUUAAGUUAUCGAGGAGAUAGCCGCUCAUCGUUUACUGUGAGAAAAUUAGAGUGUUCAAAGCAGGCUUAUGCCGUUGAAUAUAUUAGCAUGGAAUAAUAAGAUAGGACCUCGGUACUAUUUUGUUGGUUUGAGAACCAAGGUAAUGAUGAAUAGGGACAGUUGGGGGUAUUCGUAUUCAGUUGUCAGAGGUGAAAUUCUUAGAUUGUCGGAAGACGAACUACUGCGAAAGCAUUUACCAAGGAUGUUUUCA
This 381-nucleotide ribosomal RNA is filed under the name uncultured marine Chaetocerotaceae. Its description in RNAcentral is "SSU rRNA". It matches the Rfam family "Eukaryotic small subunit ribosomal RNA", at positions 587 to 972 of the family's 1831-position model. The record is from RNAcentral. Lineage: Eukaryota; Bacillariophyta; Thalassiosirophyceae; Chaetocerotales; Chaetocerotaceae.